AAUGGGCGGAAGCCUGACCCAGCCAUGCCGCGUGCAGGAUGAAACGGUAUGGGUUGUAAACUGCUUUUAUGUGGGAAUAACCCCUUUACGUGUAGAGGGCUGAAUGUACUAAACGAAUAAGCACCGGCUAACUCCGUGCCAGCAGCGCGGUAAUACGGAGGGUGCAAGCGUUAUCCGAAUCAUUGGGUUAAAGGGUCGCAGGCGGAUGUAUAAGUC
RNAcentral lists this ribosomal RNA (216 nucleotides) under uncultured Flavobacteriia bacterium. RNAcentral's name for it is "partial 16S ribosomal RNA". It matches the Rfam family "Bacterial small subunit ribosomal RNA", at positions 370 to 589 of the family's 1533-position model. The record is from RNAcentral. Lineage: Bacteria; Pseudomonadati; Bacteroidota; Flavobacteriia.